CUUAACACAUGCAAGUUGAACGGCAGCAUGGUUUAAGAUUUUGUCUUAAAUUGAUGGCGAGUAGCGAACGGGUGAGUAUAACGCAGGAAUGUGUCUUAAAGUUUAGGAUAACCUAGGGAAACUUAGGCUAAUACUGAAUGUACUCUAUGGAGUAAAGCUGGGGACCUAAAUGGCCUGGCGCUUUAAGGGCAGCCUGUGUCUGAUUAGCUAGUUGGUAAGGUAAAAGCUUACCAAGGCAACGAUCAGUAGCUGGUCUUAGAGGACGGUCAGCCACACUGGGACUGAGACACGGCCCAGACUCCUACGGGAGGCAGCAGUGGGGAAUAUUGGACAAUGGGGGAAACCCUGAUCCAGCAAUGCCGCGUGUGUGAAGAAGGCCUGAGGGUUGUAAAGCACUUUUGGUAAGGAAGAUUGAUAUAAAGUUUAAUACAUUUUAUAUUGGACGUUACUUACAGAAUAAGCACCGGCAAACUCCGUGCCAGCAGCCGCGGUAAUACGGAGGGUGCGAGCGUUAAUCGGAAUUAUUGGGCGUAAAGGGUGCGUANGUGGUAUAACAAGUUAUUUGUGAAAGACCUAAGCUUAACUUAGGAAGUGCAGAUAAAACUGUUAAACUAGAGUAUGGGAUAGGGUAGUGGAAUUUCCGGUGUAGCAGUGAAAUGCGUAGAUAUCGGAAGGAACAUCAGUGGCGAAGGCGACUACCUGGCCUAAAACUGACACUGGGGCACGAAAGCAUGGGGAGCAAACAGGAUUAGAUACCCUGGUAGUCCAUGCUGUAAACGUUGUCAACUAGCUGUUGGUCAUGAUUGAAUGAUAAGUAGCGAAGCUAACGCGUUAAGUUGACCGCCUGGGGAGUACGAUCGCAAGAUUAAAACUCAAAGGAAUUGACGGGGGCCCGCACAAGCGGUGGAGCAUGUGGUUUAAUUCGAUGCAACGCGAGGAACCUUACCUACCCUUGACAUACAGCGAAUUUAACAGAGAUGUUAAAGUGCCGGGAGGAACGCUGAUACAGGUGCUGCAUGGCUGUCGUCAGCUCGUGUUGUGAGAUAUUGGGUUAAGUCCCGUAACGAGCGUAACCCUUGUUCUUAGUUGCCAACGAUUAAAGUCGGGAACUCUAAGAAGACUGCCGAUGAAAAGUCGGAGGAAGGGGGGGAUGAGGUCAAGUCAUCAUGGCCCUUAUGGGUAGGGCUACACACGUGCUACAAUGG
RNAcentral lists this ribosomal RNA (1205 nucleotides) under endosymbiont of Polyplax spinulosa. Its description in RNAcentral is "bacterial SSU rRNA". It matches the Rfam family "Bacterial small subunit ribosomal RNA", at positions 47 to 1233 of the family's 1533-position model. The record is from RNAcentral. Lineage: Bacteria; Pseudomonadati; Pseudomonadota; Gammaproteobacteria; Legionellales; Legionellaceae.